AGCGACCUGGAAAGUUUGAAGAAGCCUGAGAACCUUAAGAAGGCUGAUAAGGAAGCUGAUGAUGAUGAUGAUGAUGAUGAGGAAUAAAAGGGAUCCUGUUCAAUCCAUAAAGGAAUCAUCCAUCAGUGUGGAUGAACUUGAA
Long non-coding RNA from Centropristis striata (black sea bass), 142 nucleotides. RefSeq lists it as uncharacterized. NCBI's taxonomy places the organism in Eukaryota, Metazoa, Chordata, Actinopteri, Perciformes, Serranidae. The transcript is spliced from 3 exons. The record is from RefSeq and is a predicted model, not a curated record.